Molecule: ribosomal RNA, 255 nt
Filed under: uncultured bacterium
Lineage: Bacteria
Description: partial 16S ribosomal RNA
Rfam family: Bacterial small subunit ribosomal RNA
Source: RNAcentral
UACAGGGGGUGCAAACGUUGCUCGGAAUCAUUGGGCGUAAAGCGCACGUAGGCGGUUCGUUAUGUCGGAUGUGAAAGCCCUUGGCUUAACCGAGGAAGUGCAUCCGAAACUGGCGAGCUAGAGUACUAAAGAGGAUCGCGGAAUUCCCGGUGUAGAGGUGAAAUUCGUAGAUAUCGGGAGGAACACCGGUGGCGAAGGCGGCGAUCUGGGUAGAUACUGACGCUGAGGUGCGAAAGCGUGGGGGAGCAAAACAGG